RNAcentral lists this ribosomal RNA (854 nucleotides) under uncultured bacterium. RNAcentral's name for it is "bacterial SSU rRNA". It matches the Rfam family "Bacterial small subunit ribosomal RNA", at positions 72 to 913 of the family's 1533-position model. The record is from RNAcentral.
UUCUGGUUUUUUCUUAAGCGGAGUGGCGGACGGGUGAGUAACACGUGGGGAACCUAUCCAUCAGCGGGGGAUAACACUUGGAAACAGGUGCUAAUACCGCAUACGGCUUUUUUUCACCUGAAAGAAAGCUCAAAGGCGCUUUACAGCGUCACUGAUGGCUGGUCCCGCCGUGCAUUAGCCAGUUGGUGAGGUAACGGCUCACCAAAGCAACGAUGCAUAGCCGACCUGAGAGGGUGAUCGGCCACACUGGGACUGAGACACGGCCCAGACUCCUACGGGAGGCAGCAGUAGGGAAUCUUCGGCAAUGGACGCAAGUCUGACCGAGCAACGCCGCGUGAGUGAAGAAGGUUUUCGGAUCGUAAAGCUCUGUUGUCAGCAAAGAACAGGAGAAAGAGGCAAUGCUUUUUCUAUGACGGUAGCUGACCAGAAAGCCACGGCUAACUACGUGCCAGCAGCCGCGGUAAUACGUAGGUGGCAAGCGUUGUCCGGAUUUAUUGGGCGUAAAGCGAGCGCAGGCGGUGAUUUAAGUCUGAUGUGAAAGCCCCCAGCUCAACUGGGGAGGGUCAUUGGAAACUGGAUCACUUGAGUGCAGAAGAGGAGAGUGGAAUUCCAUGUGUAGCGGUGAAAUGCGUAGAUAUAUGGAGGAACACCAGUGGCGAAGGCGGCUCUCUGGUCUGUAACUGACGCUGAGACUCGAAAGCGUGGGUAGCAAACGGGAUUAGAUCCUCCGGAAGUCCACCCCGUAAACGAUGAGUGCUAAGUGUUGGAGGGUUUCCGCCCUUCAGUGCUGCAGUAAACGCAUUAAGCACUCCGUCUGGGGGAGACCACCCCAAGGUUGAAACUCAAGGAAUUGA